Molecule: ribosomal RNA, 701 nt
Filed under: Escherichia coli
Lineage: Bacteria; Pseudomonadati; Pseudomonadota; Gammaproteobacteria; Enterobacterales; Enterobacteriaceae
Description: partial 23S ribosomal RNA
Rfam family: Bacterial large subunit ribosomal RNA
Source: RNAcentral
GACCCGUUAUCCGGGUUGCGGACAGUGUCUGGUGGGUAGUUUGACUGGGGCGGUCUCCUCCUAAAGAGUAACGGAGGAGCACGAAGGUUGGCUAAUCCUGGUCGGACAUCAGGAGGUUAGUGCAAUGGCAUAAGCCAGCUUGACUGCGAGCGUGACGGCGCGAGCAGGUGCGAAAGCAGGUCAUAGUGAUCCGGUGGUUCUGAAUGGAAGGGCCAUCGCUCAACGGAUAAAAGGUACUCCGGGGAUAACAGGCUGAUACCGCCCAAGAGUUCAUAUCGACGGCGGUGUUUGGCACCUCGAUGUCGGCUCAUCACAUCCUGGGGCUGAAGUAGGUCCCAAGGGUAUGGCUGUUCGCCAUUUAAAGUGGUACGCGAGCUGGGUUUAGAACGUCGUGAGACAGUUCGGUCCCUAUCUGCCGUGGGCGCUGGAGAACUGAGGGGGGCUGCUCCUAGUACGAGAGGACCGGAGUGGACGCAUCACUGGUGUUCGGGUUGUCAUGCCAAUGGCACUGCCCGGUAGCUAAAUGCGGAAGAGAUAAGUGCUGAAAGCAUCUAAGCACGAAACUUGCCCCGAGAUGAGUUCUCCCUGACUCCUUGAGAGUCCUGAAGGAACGUUGAAGACGACGACGUUGAUAGGCCGGGUGUGUAAGCGCAGCGAUGCGUUGAGCUAACCGGUACUAAUGAACCGUGAGGCUUAACCUU